RNAcentral lists this long non-coding RNA (3069 nucleotides) under Homo sapiens (human). RNAcentral describes it as "HSALNT0202296". The record is from RNAcentral. Lineage: Eukaryota; Metazoa; Chordata; Mammalia; Primates; Hominidae.
GUUAGCAAUUAUUAAAUGGUUUGUUAAAAAAUACAAUAAAAACAGAAUUAAGGUAGGAGAAUUGCUCACCCAGGUGUUUGAGAUCAGCCUGGGAUAACAAAGUGAGACCCUAUCUCUGCAAAAAAAUUUAAUAAUUAGCUGGGUGUGGAUAUGUGUGCUUAUAUUCCCAGCUACUGGGGAGGCUGAGGCAAGAGGAUUGCUUGAGCUCAGGAGCUUGAGGCUGCAGUGAGAUAUGAUCAUACCAUUGCACUCAUUCUAGCCUGGGCAACAAAGCCAGAUUCUUUCUCAGAAAAACAAACAAACAAAAACAAAAAAAAAACCACCCCAGAAAAACAAAACAAAACAAAAAACAACAAAUAAUUUGGGAGCAUUAGCUUGUUUGUAAAAUCACUAUAAAGGACGAUAAAAUGGUAAAAUGGUGAACUUCCAUGUGCUAGAAUUAAAGCCCUCCCAAAAUUGUGGAUAGAUAUUCAUGAAAUGGGGAAAUUCCUACAGAUUCAGAAGCAAAGUAGCUAGUCAAUGAUUCAUGAAUAAUUGUGUUAACAGCCCAUGCGGAUUCCCUGGGAACUCUCUACAUGCGAGUGUCCCAACAGGCUUCCAUCACCAUGAUUAUGUAAAGCAAAAUGAGGAAAUUCCCUGAUUGUUUCCAUAUCAGUUGGGCUUUAAGUCCUCCCUUGGCUGUAUUUCUUCUCCUUCACGGUAUCUUUGAUGAUGAUUUUAACCAAGUGUUACCUGUAUGCAAAUAUUUUGUACAAAUAUUUCCACUGAAGAUACAAAAUAAAAGUUUUUCCAGAUAAAAAGCUUCGUAGGAUUGGCCCAGAAUGGAUAACAUUUUUAUUUUGAGACAGGGGCUCACUCUGUCACCCAGGCUGGAGUGUAGUGGUGAUCACAGCUCACUGAAACCUCUGCCUCCUGGGCUCAAGUGAUCCUCCUACCUCUCAGCUUCCUGAGUAGCUGGGACUACUGUUGCCUGCAACUGUGUGCCUGGAAAUCCCUUUUUUUUUUGGUAGAGACAGAGUUUCACCAUGUUGCCCAAGCUGGACUUGAACACCUGGGAUCAAGCGACCCACCAGCCUCCACCUUCCUGAGUGCCAGGAUUACAGGCAUGAGCCACUGCGCCUGUAAUAACAAUUUAGGGGAUAUGUUAUUUACCUAUUGCAGCAUAAAAAUUACUCCAAAGCAUACUGGCUUAAAACAACAAAUAUUUAUUAUGUCAAAGUAGGUCAAAAAUCUUGGUGUAUUUCAGCAGAGUGUUUGUGGUUCAGAGUUUUUCACAAGGUGUUGCCUGGGCUGCAGUCACCUCAAGGCACAACAGGGGGAAGAUCUGGUUUCACAUUCAUUCAAGUGGCUAUUGACAGGCCUCACGUCCUCAUUAGCUAUUGGCUUGUUCCUUUCCAUGUGGGUCUUUCCACAAGGCAGCUUACAACAUGGCAGCUGGCUUCUCUCAGAGCAAGUCAGCGAAAGAGUGAAAUAGAGCAAGCAAGGUGGAAGCCAAACUGUUCAAAAUCUAAUUUCAGAAGUACCAUCCUGUCACUUUUGCUGUAUUCUAUCCACUAAAAGGAAGUCACUAGAUCCAGUCUACAAUCAGAAGAAAAAAUUACACACAGACAAAAAUUGACAAAUGAAAGCCAUCUUAGAAGUUGUCUACCACAGAAGGGGCAGUUGUUUUCCAGAAUUACCUCAAAGGAAAGCACAACAGUCAGACGUGAAAUGGAAACAGAAAAAUCUUCUGAAGCAGAAUAGUAACGCUGUGAAUUUAAAAGUAAUGGAUUUACAUUGACAACAUGCACAACAGGCUCAUGUAAAAGGAUUAUCUGAUGUGUCAUCAUGACUUAAUGAAGAACGCAAAUGCUUCUCGAUGAAAUUGAAGUAAAAAGAGGAAACAGAAGGGAAAAUGAGAGUCUAAAAAGAAACAAAGAGAAGUUAACUUUUAAGAGAUGACAAAUUCUACCUGCCACGAUGUUUUAUUUUAAUCUGAAAGAAAUUAUAAAGCUGAUACUUUCUGAAAAUAUAUCCUUUUACAGUAAAUAUUCUUGUGAAAUCUGCCAACCUACUUUUGUUUUAUUUCAAAAGCUUUUGUACCUCUCCAGACUAAACAAAAUACUUAAAAGAUGAUAUGGACAUUUAAAAAUAUUGUACUUAAAAAUAGAGAAGAAUAAAAAUCAAGAAUUCAUUCAAAAGAAUAGUGAAUUCAAAUAACUUUCAAAUGUUAUUCUAAUUUAUGAGUUGCUGCUACAUCGAUCUUCCUACUGAAAACAAAAAUAUCUGUUGCUGACAUCUACCAAAAAGUGAAUUUUUUCCCCAAAUUGAGCUGAGUCCACCUGUUUUGGUAAUGAGUUAGAGAAAUAUAUUCUGUUCUUUUUUAGAAGCUCCAUCAGAGUGGAAGACAUUUAUGAACUAUAUAAAUGUCUCAUUAGACUCCGUCUCAAAAAAAAAAAAGAAAUGUCUCAUUAAUUUUUAGUUAUUGGUUUCUCAUUCUAUGACCCAGAGUCAUGAAAAUUUCAGAAAACCACAGGUUAUUUGUUGAGUGUUCAAAUUGCAUAAUUAAAUAACUGUCAUUGUUGGGAAAGGAGAAUGAUAUGGAAGACAUAGCCCACACUUGGCUCUUGAAAAGUUUACCACUGAACUGAGCUAACAGAUAAAACUUCAUCAAUUUCUUAUCACUGAACCUGAGGGUUACACACAGCUGCACACAUCCUUGCUCUGUAACUCUUUCUGUGAGAGAGGACAUGUGUAACUUCCUAUCUAAGGUCAAUCCCUUUAUCCCUCUUCUGAGAGCUGCAAUGGAGAUCCAGAACACAGUGGAAGAAUAUAUUGAAAUAUGUGUAUCUAAGGUGUUCUAUAAAUUCUCAUUUCAAUGGGCUGUCCCUUAGAUAACCAACACUCAUAUGUUGUUUCAUUUCUCAAUGCAUCUUACUGUGUUCCAUAUUACUUUGAGUCUAAUGGAAUGUACCAGCUUAAAUGGAGACUGUAUCUCUGCCUUUAUUACUAGAUCUGGUUGAUAUUGUUGUUAUCUGGAGUUUGAGAACUCUCUUCCCUUAUCAGGUGAGCUGCAUAAAUAAAAUGGUA